This is a long non-coding RNA of Oxyura jamaicensis (ruddy duck), 591 nucleotides long. RefSeq lists it as uncharacterized. The transcript has 3 exons. The record is from RefSeq and is a predicted model, not a curated record. NCBI's taxonomy places the organism in Eukaryota, Metazoa, Chordata, Aves, Anseriformes, Anatidae.
AGUAUUGCAUUUAGCCAUGUUUAUGGCUAAUACCUCCUGGUACUAUUUAAAUGCCUUUUGAUGGCUAGAAAACACUAGCUGUCUGAGAGACGCUGCUGUCACAUGCAUGUGAAGGCUCUACAUACUCAUGUGGCAGACGGAGUAAACAGGAACAUAAGAACAGUUUUGCUGUUUGUCCUUUGUUAAUGUUUUCUAAGGUCUGAAAACCAUUGUCAUGAACAUGCAUGCACAGACACCCAACCAUCCACUGUUUUUGCCUCCAAAUAUUUUCCGUUUUAACUCUUAGUAGGGCGUGCUUGUCUUGCUCAGGUGUGAUGACUGAGAAGCAGAAGCUCUCCCCGUUGGGCUGCUCCGGGUGCACACUGCGUAUGCUGCAUUAUGACACACUGCAGAUGUGAUCACGUGGGCUGCAUGAAGCUACUCUGCUGCCUUGGCUGCGCUGAGAGACUCAGAUGACAGUAACAUACAACUCAAGAGAUCGGGAAUCAAAUCCCACUACUGCCAUGAAUUCAUCAUGUGAAGUGGGAAAAUCAUGGUAUCUUUAUGCCUCUGUUUUCCACCUUCUAAGUGUGGCUAAUACUGCAUUCUCUA